GCUGUGAUGGCUCAACUGGUACAGCACCGGCCUUGAAAUCCGGCAUGUCGGGUGAGAUUCCCGCUUUCAGGGUUCGAAUCCCUGUCACAGCG
RNAcentral lists this transfer RNA (92 nucleotides) under Agathobacter rectalis. Its description in RNAcentral is "tRNA-Ser". It matches the Rfam family "tRNA". From Rfam's summary of the family: Transfer RNA (tRNA) molecules are approximately 80 nucleotides in length. RNAcentral also lists the same sequence under 1 other name. The record is from RNAcentral. Lineage: Bacteria; Bacillati; Bacillota; Clostridia; Lachnospirales; Lachnospiraceae.